GCGGGCCGAAGAGGAAAGGUUAUCAUUUUUCAUGAGGUGGUCGCGGGUUCGAGCCCCGCCGGGCCGCA
This 68-nucleotide transfer RNA is filed under the name Methylorubrum rhodesianum. Its description in RNAcentral is "tRNA-Ser". Lineage: Bacteria; Pseudomonadati; Pseudomonadota; Alphaproteobacteria; Hyphomicrobiales; Methylobacteriaceae. RNAcentral also lists the same sequence under 2 other names. The record is from RNAcentral.